UAAGCAUCUUCAAAUCAAACAAUAAAAUAAUCCGACCUCUCCAACCAGGGCUGGCCCCAUGCAAACAUCCAAAUUCAGGAAUGUUGGUACUCAAGACCUCCCUAUUUUGCCACUGCUCUAGGAUUUAGGCUAUCUUUCUUAGCCCUUCCCCACAAGCAGAAUCCUUUCUCUGUAGAAGACUUCAAAACCCCAAGUGGCUAAAAAGGUUUACCCAGAGAAAACAAUGUUAACAGGGGAAGAAAUCUCUAACAUUGGAAUUCCAGGCUUUGCUCUCAGGCCA
Molecule: long non-coding RNA, 280 nt
Filed under: Bos taurus (domestic cattle)
Lineage: Eukaryota; Metazoa; Chordata; Mammalia; Artiodactyla; Bovidae
Description: long non-coding RNA NONBTAT016502
Source: RNAcentral